This 1436-nucleotide long non-coding RNA is filed under the name Numida meleagris (helmeted guineafowl). RNAcentral describes it as "lncRNA (ENSNMEG00000008686.1)". The record is from RNAcentral. Lineage: Eukaryota; Metazoa; Chordata; Aves; Galliformes; Numididae.
GUGGAGCCAGGCUCCACCCCUCUUAGGCUUCAUUUAAGGGCUGACUGCCCCUAAGGAAGGAUUUCUUCCUGGAGAUCCCUUCUUGGUGGGAGCAUUUCCCUGCGAGCCCAAAAUCUUCCAAUCCAGGUGAGCGCUGUAUUUUCCUUCCACGUAUUUGUAACACUAUUUCCAUUGCGUUAGUCCUUCUGAUUGCUACAGAAUAACAGCCAAAAAAUGUUAUACAGUGAUGAUGCUGACUGAGGAGUUCAGAUUUGAUGAAAACCAGAAUUCUCUUGCUUCAAAAAUGCAGAAGGGGAAGACAGUUCGAUUUGCACAGAGAUUGAGAUCCCUGCGAGUAACUGGAAGCAGACACAUUGUGGGAGAACUUCACAGAGAACUUGUCCGUCACUGUGGAGAAGACAAGGCUGUGAGGCAGGUGCUUGGAGACCCGUACUGAAUUAUGCACAGCAGAAAAUCUGCAAAAUAUACUUCAAGAGCUGGAAAUUUACCGUGUGUGACUGAAAAUUGCAGAGAGGCAGAACCCAAAUUUCCAGAUUAACUAUUUCAUCAAUUAAAGCUGCAUUUGCAAUCCUUUCUUAUUUGUCUGCCCAUCUGCGUCUACUGCUGAUACAAAGCCAUCAUCGUAACAGAAAUUGAAAUGGAUAUUUGAUGCCCUGUGCCUACGGCAGCCUAAGGGUUUGGGGAGCAUUUUUUGUUUGUUUGUUUUGUUUGUUUUAAAGAAUAGGAGUUCCAGCUAAUUAAUUUUUUCCAUGUAUUUGCUUUAGUUUGUGGAAUUCCAUAGUUCCUAUUAAGUAGAGGCAGGUAAUUAAGUAAGAAAAUGAAGCAAGCUUUGCCACACACAUUGUGUUUACAGAGUUGAAAGGGCAACUUUUAUAUUUGGGAUAAUGCGGUACCUGGUUACGCAGGAACACACAACUCCAUCCCAUUCUCAACAUAUUUUGCAAGCAUACUUCAACCCUCCAGCCUCUCAUGAGUUCAGCUGCAUCCUCAGUGUGUCUUUCAGCUCUGUAAGGUCCAACCCUUAGUAUUACUGCACUAAACAGUGAUAUGCUUUGCCUAAAUGCAAAUUACAGAUUGCAGAGCCUCAGUUGAGAUGCUAUGAGCUGAGGCAGCCCAAGUAUUGCCAGCUCCUUGCAAAGAUGUCAUUAGCACAAAGCAGGUCUGCGAGUGAGAAAAUUGGUUCUGAAAGCAGCGUUAAUGGGGAAAUGUGCAACCUCAAAAAUCUUGCUCUCUGCAUCCAAACUCAAUUACUUUAAUACAUCUGCAUAAUGUUGGGCUAACAUGGCAAGGUUUUGGUAGCAGGGAGCUGCAGGGGUGGGUGCCCUCUGUGAGCAGAGCCCCACGCUGUUCCAUGUCAGAUCACAGCCAGCUCCAGCUGCUCCCAAGGGACUGGCAAUGGCCAGAGCUGAGCCGUGAGCAACGCUGGGUGUGCUCUG